Molecule: ribosomal RNA, 466 nt
Filed under: bacterium LCKW-isolateV
Lineage: Bacteria
Description: SSU rRNA
Rfam family: Bacterial small subunit ribosomal RNA
Source: RNAcentral
CCUGGCUCAGAUUGAACGCUGGCGGCAGGCCUAACACAUGCAAGUCGAGCGGUAACAGGUCCAGCUUGCUGGAUGCUGACGAGCGGCGGACGGGUGAGUAACGCAUAGGAAUCUACCCGGUAGUGGGGGAUAACCUGGGAAACCCAGGCUAAUACCGCAUACGUCCUACGGGAGAAAGGGGGCUUAGGCUCCCGCUAUUGGAUGAGCCUAUGCCGGAUUAGCUGGUUGGUGAGGUAAUGGCUCACCAAGGCGACGAUCCGUAGCUGGUCUGAGAGGAUGAUCAGCCACAUCGGGACUGAGACACGGCCCGAACUCCUACGGGAGGCAGCAGUGGGGAAUAUUGGACAAUGGGGGCAACCCUGAUCCAGCCAUGCCGCGUGUGUGAAGAAGGCCCUCGGGUUGUAAAGCACUUUCAGCGAGGAAGAACGCCUGUCGGUAANACCCGGCAGAAAGACAUCACUCGCAG